RNAcentral lists this ribosomal RNA (253 nucleotides) under uncultured bacterium. Its description in RNAcentral is "partial 16S ribosomal RNA". It matches the Rfam family "Bacterial small subunit ribosomal RNA", at positions 524 to 776 of the family's 1533-position model. The record is from RNAcentral.
UACGUAGGUGGCAAGCGUUGUCCGGAAUUAUUGGGCGUAAAGAGCUCGUAGGCGGUUCGUCGCGUCGGCUGUGAAAACCCGGAGCUCAACUCCGGGCCUGCAGUCGAUACGGGCGGACUUGAGUGUUGCAGGGGAGACUGGAAUUCCUGGUGUAGCGGUGAAAUGCGCAGAUAUCAGGAGGAACGCCGGUGGCGAAGGCGGUUCUCUGGGCAUUACCUGACGCUGAGGAGCGAAAGUGUGGGGAGCGAACAGG